CCGAGUUAUCAACUCCCAAACCCCUGUGAACAUACCCGAACGUUGCCUCGGCGGGACCGCCCCGGCGCCCACAGCGGCCCGGAACCAGGCGCCCGCCGGAGGACCCAAACUCUUGCUUUAAACAGUGGCAUACUCUCUGAGUCUCACAAACAAAAAAUAAAUCA
Molecule: unclassified non-coding RNA, 164 nt
Filed under: uncultured Tolypocladium
Lineage: Eukaryota; Fungi; Ascomycota; Sordariomycetes; Hypocreales; Clavicipitaceae
Description: sequence contains ITS1
Source: RNAcentral